CGGGGGAGGCCGGAUUCUGGGCUGUGUCCCGGCGCCCGGUGCUCCGGAGCCUGCGCUGUUGGAUUUGCCCUCCCGCCCCACAGCCCCCU
Canis lupus familiaris (dog) is the source of this 89-nucleotide non-coding RNA. The record is from Rfam. NCBI's taxonomy places the organism in Eukaryota, Metazoa, Chordata, Mammalia, Carnivora, Canidae.